RNAcentral lists this ribosomal RNA (77 nucleotides) under Betaproteobacteria bacterium TMED156. RNAcentral's name for it is "partial 16S ribosomal RNA". It matches the Rfam family "Bacterial small subunit ribosomal RNA", at positions 1 to 72 of the family's 1533-position model. The record is from RNAcentral. Lineage: Bacteria; Pseudomonadati; Pseudomonadota; Betaproteobacteria.
AGAUUAAACUGAAGAGUUUGAUCCUGGCUCAGAUUGAACGCUAGCGGCAUGCCUUACACAUGCAAGUCGAACGGCAG